CCUCCGGGUGGCAGCAGUGGGGAAUAUUGCACAAUGGGGGAAACCCUGAUGCAGCGACGCCGCGUGAGUGAAGAAGUAAUUCGUUAUGUAAAGCGCUAUCAGCCGGGAAGAAGAUGACGGUACCUGAGUAAGAAGCCCCGGCUAACAACGUGCCAGCGGCCGCGGUAGUACGUAGGGGGCAAGCGUUAUCCGGAUUUACUGGUGUAAAGGGAUCGUAGGCGGCAGUGCAAGUCUGGAGUGAAAGGCGGGGGCUCAACCCGCGGACUGCUCUGGAGACUGUACGGCUGGAGUGCAGGAGAGGUAAGUGGAAUUCCCGGUGUAGCGGUGAAAUGCGUAGAUAUUAGGAGGAACACCAGUGGCGAAGGCGGGUUACUGGACUGUAACUGACGUUGAGGCUCGAAAGCGUGGGGAGCAAACAGGAUUAGAUACCCCGGUAGUC
Molecule: ribosomal RNA, 439 nt
Filed under: uncultured bacterium
Lineage: Bacteria
Description: partial 16S ribosomal RNA
Rfam family: Bacterial small subunit ribosomal RNA
Source: RNAcentral